Carya illinoinensis is the source of this 156-nucleotide small nucleolar RNA. RefSeq annotates it as small nucleolar RNA snoR134. The record is from RefSeq and is a predicted model, not a curated record. The transcript has a single exon. NCBI's taxonomy places the organism in Eukaryota, Viridiplantae, Streptophyta, Magnoliopsida, Fagales, Juglandaceae.
UUGCACGAUGCACUUCCCCGGGCUUUUCUGAAUGAGUAAUCAAUUGAUGAUGGCGAAAGCCCCAUUGCUCUUGCUAAAACAAGCCGACGCCAAGUGUUGCAGUUCAGCCAUUCUCUUUAUCCACAACUGAGCUGUUUCAAAUUGAUGCCCAUAUCU